CAGUCGCCGCGGUAAAACGUAGGUGGCAAGCGUUGUCCGGAAUUAUUGGGCGUAAAGGGCUCGCAGGCGGUUUCUUAAGUCUGAUGUGAAAGCCCCCGGCUCAACCGGGGAGGGUCAUUGGAAACUGGGAAACUUGAGUGCAGAAGAGGAGAGUGGAAUUCCACGUGUAGCGGUGAAAUGCGUAGAGAUGUGGAGGAACACCAGUGGCGAAGGCGACUCUCUGGUCUGUAACUGACGCUGAGGAGCGAAAGCGUGGGGAGCGAACAGGAUUAGAUACCCCCGUAGUCCCUGUCUUUAUACA
This 301-nucleotide ribosomal RNA is filed under the name uncultured bacterium. RNAcentral describes it as "partial 16S ribosomal RNA". It matches the Rfam family "Bacterial small subunit ribosomal RNA", at positions 509 to 809 of the family's 1533-position model. The record is from RNAcentral.